This 465-nucleotide ribosomal RNA is filed under the name Vreelandella stevensii. RNAcentral describes it as "partial 16S ribosomal RNA". It matches the Rfam family "Bacterial small subunit ribosomal RNA", at positions 338 to 795 of the family's 1533-position model. The record is from RNAcentral. Lineage: Bacteria; Pseudomonadati; Pseudomonadota; Gammaproteobacteria; Oceanospirillales; Halomonadaceae.
CCUACGGGAGGCUGCAGUGGGGAAUAUUGGACAAUGGGGGCAACCCUGAUCCAGCCAUGCCGCGUGUGUGGAGAAGGCCCUCGGGUUGUAAAGCACUUUCAGUGAGGAAGAACGCCUGGUGGUUAAUACCCAUCAGGAAAGACAUCACUCACAGAAGAAGCACCGGCUAACUCCGUGCCAGCAGCCGCGGUAAUACGGAGGGUGCGAGCGUUAAUCGGAAUUACUGGGCGUAAAGCGCGCGUAGGUGGCUUGAUAAGCCGGUUGUGAAAGCCCCGGGCUCAACCUGGGAACGGCAUCCGGAACUGUCAAGCUAGAGUGCAGGAGAGGAAGGUAGAAUUCCCGGUGUAGCGGUGAAAUGCGUAGAGAUCGGGAGGAAUACCAGUGGCGAAGGCGGCCUUCUGGACUGACACUGACACUGAGGUGCGAAAGCGUGGGUAGCAAACAGGAUUAGAUACCCCUGUAGUC